GAAAUGGUACAACCAACCAGACCCGAAUAAUGAUACAUUCAAUGGUGAGGAUGCACAAAUGGUAAUAAUUUAACUUAAAGAGAACAUCAUGAUCAUCAACCAUCCAACCAAAGAUCAACGCCCACCGAUUCAACACGAAAGGAACAACCCGGGAAAGUAGAAUGAAGAAAAACAGAAUGAAAAGAACAUACACAGAAGAAGAUCGAAGAGAAAUUCAAUGAUACAGAUUUUUUUUUUGUUUAUUUUUGUGAUUUCUGGGUCUAGUAGUCAGUGGUUGGGAGCUGCUCGUGGGUGUGGCUGAUGAAGACGACCUCGUAGAUAAGCCCAGCAAGACCACCACCGAUGAGAGGGCCAACCCAGUAGAUCCAGUUGUUGGUCCAGGUCCAGCUAACAACGGCGGGCCCGAAUGUGACUGCAGGGUUCAUGGCUGCUCCGGAGAAGGCCCCACCCAACAAAAUGUUAGCGCCAACGAUGAAACCAAUGGCGAUGGGUGCGAUGGUUCCCAAACUACCUCUCUUGGGGUCAAUGGCGGUAGCGUAGACAGUGUAAACCAAACCGAAGGUCAUCACGAUCUCCAACACCAAAGCGUUACCCACUCCAACUCCAGCUGAGAGUCCAAAUGCGGGAACAGUCUGUCAAGCACAGGAACAAAACUCUUAUUAGUUCACAAACACCACAAAUUAAAAGUUAGUUACGUGAAGUAACGGUAAUAACGGUCUUACGGAGGAGGUCACGAAGGCCAGGAGGAGGGAGGCCACCACGGAGCCAAGGAGCUGGGCGAUGAUGUAGACGACACCGCGGAGAAAGGUGAUGUUGCCUCCGAUGAAGGCGCCGAAGGUGACGGCGGGGUUCACGUGACCUCCGGAGAUGUUGGCGCCGACGGAGACGGCGACAAAAAGGCCGAAUGCGUGGGCGAUGGAGGCGGAGAUGAGACCGGCAGGUGUGGCGGCGCCGUUGUCGGUAAGCUUGUUGAAGGCGAUGCCGGAACCCGAGCCGGCGAACACGAAGAUGAGGGUGGAGAUGAACUCAGCCAGACCCGCCUUCAAUGUGUCGGGGUUAGUGGCCUCCUCGGGCCUUCCGAUGGCGAUGUUUCUGAUCGGCAUCUUCAAUCAACGGCGGUGAUGAUUACGACUGGUGAAAGAUCAGGUGAAUACCGAUCACUCACUUAAAUCACUCUCU
RNAcentral lists this long non-coding RNA (1179 nucleotides) under Phaseolus vulgaris (common bean). RNAcentral's name for it is "long non-coding RNA (PVUL_LNC005217)". Lineage: Eukaryota; Viridiplantae; Streptophyta; Magnoliopsida; Fabales; Fabaceae. The record is from RNAcentral.